Molecule: ribosomal RNA, 497 nt
Filed under: uncultured bacterium
Lineage: Bacteria
Description: partial 16S ribosomal RNA
Rfam family: Bacterial small subunit ribosomal RNA
Source: RNAcentral
GACGAACGCUGGCGGCGUGCCUAAUACAUGCAAGUUGAGCGCUGAAGGUUGGUACUUGUACCGACUGGAUGAGCAGCGAACGGGUGAGUAAUGCGUGGGGAAUCUGCCUUUGAGCGGGGGACAACAUUUGGAAACGAAUGCUAAUACCGCAUAAAAACUUUAAACACAAGUUUUAAGUUUGAAAGAUGCAAUUGCAUCACUCAAAGAUGAUCCCGCGUUGUAUUAGCUAGUUGGUGAGGUAAAGGCUCACCAAGGCGAUGAUACAUAGCCGACCUGAGAGGGUGAUCGGCCACAUUGGGACUGAGACACGGCCCAAACUCCUACGGGAGGCAGCAGUAGGGAAUCUUCGGCAAUGGACGAAAGUCUGACCGAGCAACGCCGCGUGAGUGAAGAAGGGUUUCGGAUCGUAAAACUCUGUUGGUAGAGAAGAACGUUGGUGAGAGUGGAAAGCUCAUCAAGUGACGGUAACUACCCAGAAAGGGACGGCUAACUACGUG